Molecule: ribosomal RNA, 336 nt
Filed under: Habronattus pugillus
Lineage: Eukaryota; Metazoa; Arthropoda; Arachnida; Araneae; Salticidae
Description: partial 16S ribosomal RNA
Rfam family: Bacterial large subunit ribosomal RNA (bases 9-303)
Source: RNAcentral
UAUAUAAAAGAAAGACGAUUAGACCCUAUUGAACUUAACUGUAGUUAAACUGGGSCAGUAAAUUAAUUAUUAUUUUAAUAAAAUAUUAUACAUAAAUAUCUAAUAAAAUUAAAUAAUUAAGUUACCAUAGGGAUAACAGCGUAAUAAUUUUCUAAAGAUCUUAUUUAAAAUAUAGAUUACGACCUCGAUGUUGAAUUAAUAACCUAAUUAAGGCAAAACUUAAAAAAGGAAGUCUGUUCGACUUUUAAAAAAUUACAUGAUUUGAGUUCAGACCGGUGUAAGCCAGGUCGGUUUCUAUCUUCUAAAAAAUUUUUUACAGUACGAAAGGACCUAAAA